AGCCCAUGAUAAGGACACCGUUAGAGUAAUUCUUUAUAUCUUCCCAAGCCUCAUACAACGAUUCAGAAUCUUGUUGCAUGAAUGAUGUGAUAUCAUUCGUCAUUUU
Molecule: small nucleolar RNA, 106 nt
Filed under: Theobroma cacao (cacao)
Lineage: Eukaryota; Viridiplantae; Streptophyta; Magnoliopsida; Malvales; Malvaceae
Description: Plant small nucleolar RNA R71
Rfam family: Plant small nucleolar RNA R71
About the family: R71 is a member of the C/D box family of snoRNAs containing the C (UGAUGA) and D (CUGA) box motifs. Multiple nearly identical copies of this snoRNA have been identified in Arabidopsis, and it is thought to function as a 2'-O-ribose methylation guide for 18S ribosomal RNA.
Source: Rfam by way of RNAcentral